This 29-nucleotide non-coding RNA is filed under the name Rattus norvegicus (Norway rat). The record is from RNAcentral. Lineage: Eukaryota; Metazoa; Chordata; Mammalia; Rodentia; Muridae.
UCCUGAUGUGAGGUUGUGGUCUUUUCACU